RNAcentral lists this transfer RNA (67 nucleotides) under Echimys chrysurus (White-faced spiny tree-rat). RNAcentral's name for it is "tRNA-Lys". Lineage: Eukaryota; Metazoa; Chordata; Mammalia; Rodentia; Echimyidae. The record is from RNAcentral.
CGUUAUGAAGCUAUUAUAGCAUUAACCUUUUAAGUUAAAGAAUGAGAAUAAUCUUUCUCCAUAACGA